GAAGACGGCCAUAGUAGGUUGGAAACACCUGUUCCCUUUCCGAACACAGAAGUUAAGCUUCCUACGUUGUCCAUGGUAGUGUCCCGCAAGACGCGAACUGUUCAAGUCGUCUUUC
RNAcentral lists this ribosomal RNA (115 nucleotides) under archaeon. The record is from RNAcentral.